UGAUUUUUUCCUUUUCUUGAACCCCAGAACUUUUUGAUUUUCAUUUCUAUCUCCGCCCGACAGAAAUUCUUCCUCCAACAUUGCACUACUGGGGAGUACCGUCGACCCAACGUCACGAUGCUAAGCUCCUUAGAGUAACAUCUUCACACUUCCAUUUCCGCUCGACAGAAAUUUUCCUCCAAUAUCGCACUACUGAGGAAGAAAAAGAUGUUUACAAUUGGAACAAGACCAAACAUUUACUAACGACUCUACUGAAGAAUUG
Molecule: long non-coding RNA, 262 nt
Filed under: Lathyrus oleraceus (garden pea)
Lineage: Eukaryota; Viridiplantae; Streptophyta; Magnoliopsida; Fabales; Fabaceae
Description: Pisum sativum (pea) long non-coding RNA (PSAT_LNC006152)
Source: RNAcentral